RNAcentral lists this ribosomal RNA (1999 nucleotides) under Listeria monocytogenes. Its description in RNAcentral is "partial 23S ribosomal RNA". It matches the Rfam family "Bacterial large subunit ribosomal RNA", at positions 869 to 2862 of the family's 2925-position model. The record is from RNAcentral. Lineage: Bacteria; Bacillati; Bacillota; Bacilli; Caryophanales; Listeriaceae.
UUUAGGGCUAGCCUCGAGGUAAAGAGUCAUGGAGGUAGAGCACUGUUUGGACUAGGGGCCCUUCUCGGGUUACCGAAUUCAGAUAAACUCCGAAUGCCAUGUACUUAUACUCGGGAGUCAGACUGCGAGUGAUAAGAUCCGUAGUCGAAAGGGAAACAGCCCAGACCACCAGUUAAGGUCCCCAAAUAUAUGUUAAGUGGAAAAGGAUGUGGGGUUGCUUAGACAACCAGGAUGUUGGCUUAGAAGCAGCCACCAUUGAAAGAGUGCGUAAUAGCUCACUGGUCGAGUGACCCCGCGCCGAAAAUGUACCGGGGCUAAACAUAUUACCGAAACUGUGGAUGAACCUCUUUAGAGGUUCGUGGUAGGAGAGCGUUCUAAGGGCGGUGAAGUCAGACCGGAAGGACUGGUGGAGCGCUUAGAAGUGAGAAUGCCGGUAUGAGUAGCGAAAGAAGGGUGAGAAUCCCUUCCACCGAAUAUCUAAGGUUUCCUGAGGAAGGCUCGUCCGCUCAGGGUUAGUCGGGACCUAAGCCGAGGCCGAUAGGCGUAGGCGAUGGACAACAGGUAGAGAUUCCUGUACCAGUGCUAAUUGUUUAACCGAUGGGGUGACACAGAAGGAUAGGGAAUCGCACGAAUGGAAAUGUGCGUCCAAGCAGUGAGUGUGAGAAGUAGGCAAAUCCGCUUCUCGCGAAGCAUGAGCUGUGAUGGGGAAGGAAAUUAAGUACGGAAGUUCCUGAUUUCACGCUGUCAAGAAAAGCCUCUAGGAAGAGUAGUACUGCCCGUACCGCAAACCGACACAGGUAGAUGAGGAGAGAAUCCUAAGGUGAGCGAGAGAACUCUCGUUAAGGAACUCGGCAAAAUGACCCCGUAACUUCGGGAGAAGGGGUGCUCUAUUAGGGUGCAAGCCCGAGAGAGCCGCAGUGAAUAGGCCCAGGCGACUGUUUAGCAAAAACACAGGUCUCUGCAAAACCGUAAGGUGACGUAUAGGGGCUGACGCCUGCCCGGUGCUGGAAGGUUAAGAGGAGUGCUUAGCUUCGGCGAAGGUACGAAUUGAAGCCCCAGUAAACGGCGGCCGUAACUAUAACGGUCCUAAGGUAGCGAAAUUCCUUGUCGGGUAAGUUCCGACCCGCACGAAAGGCGCAACGAUCUGGGCACUGUCUCAACGAGAGACUCGGUGAAAUUAUAGUACCUGUGAAGAUGCAGGUUACCCGCGACAGGACGGAAAGACCCCGUGGAGCUUUACUGCAACCUGAUAUGGAAUGUUUGUACCGCUUGUACAGGAUAGGUAGGAGCCGAAGAGACGUGUGCGCUAGCAUACGAGGAGGCAAUGGUGGGAUACUACCCUGGCUGUAUGACCAUUCUAACCCGCCACGCUUAGCGCGUGGGGAGACAGUGUCAGGUGGGCAGUUUGACUGGGGCGGUCGCCUCCUAAAGAGUAACGGAGGCGCCCAAAGGUUCCCUCAGAAUGGAUGGAAAUCAUUCGCAGAGUGUAAAGGCACAAGGGAGCUUGACUGCGAGACUGACAAGUCGAGCAGGGACGAAAGUCGGGCUUAGUGAUCCGGUGGUUCCGCAUGGAAGGGCCAUCGCUCAACGGAUAAAAGCUACCCCGGGGAUAACAGGCUUAUCUCCCCCAAGAGUCCACAUCGACGGGGAGGUUUGGCACCUCGAUGUCGGCUCGUCGCAUCCUGGGGCUGUAGUCGGUCCCAAGGGUUGGGCUGUUCGCCCAUUAAAGCGGCACGCGAGCUGGGUUCAGAACGUCGUGAGACAGUUCGGUCCCUAUCCGUCGCGGGCGCAGGAAAUUUGAGAGGAGCUGUCCUUAGUACGAGAGGACCGGGAUGGACACACCGCUGGUGUACCAGUUGUUCCGCCAGGAGCAUCGCUGGGUAGCUAUGUGUGGCAGGGAUAAACGCUGAAAGCAUCUAAGCGUGAAGCCCCCCUCAAGAUGAGAUUUCCCAUUUCUUCGGAAAGUAAGAUCCCUGAAAGAUGAUCAGGUAGAUAGGUU